AAUGAUGUGCCUGAUUAAAGGGUUACUUUGAUAGAGUAAUAAAAACGACCUAUAUAUAUAAUCGUCAUCAUUA
Molecule: transfer RNA, 73 nt
Filed under: Elateroidea sp. 3 KM-2017
Lineage: Eukaryota; Metazoa; Arthropoda; Insecta; Coleoptera
Description: tRNA-Ile
Source: RNAcentral